UUGAAAGUUGAAAGGAAAGAGACUUGAUGGGUUCCUCCUCCUCUGCAGACCCCACAUAACCCAAAUAGCCUAUCCCUUUUAUAAUCAACCAUUUUUAUUCUCCAUUUGUUCUCUGGGUUAUCUUCAUUUCAUUUUAUAUUCCCCAACAACUGUUUACAAUAAUGUGUGAUUUUUUUUCUUCAUAACAGACCCCACAAACCCAAACAAAACACGUUUUUUUGUCUAUCUUAAUAUUCUUUGAUAAGAAAAAAGUCAUUGUAUAAUCAAGGCAAAAAGUUUCCUAGUCCUUUGCUUGAUACGGUUGAAUUGAUUUUUGGGGUUGUAAUAUUGUUCCCUUCUUGCCUUGCAGUCUUUCUUUGAUCAUUUCUUCUGUAUUGGGUUUUGGGUUGUUCCAAUCUUGUCUAAUUUUCUUUCUUCUAUAUAAUAAGGUUUCCUUUUUUUUAUUUUUAUUUUAUCUUCAUUUUUUUCUGACACAACCCAAUUCUAUUCCCAGACCAAAAUCCUUGUUUGGCUGUCUUGGUAUUAGGGUUUGUUUUUUACCUUGUUGGCCCUAUAUGUCUCACGGGUUUGAAUAAAAACCCCCAUUUUGGGCAAAACAAUGCUGCAAUUUUAGACCUUGAUUGAUCUUCCUGUCUCGUUCAGUAAUUUUUACAAACAGUUGGUGUGCAACUUUGGUUGGUUCUUGAAUUUGUCUUGAGAUAUGGGUUGUGUUCAUGGAAAGUGUUGUUGUAGAUACCCAAGAUCCUCAGAUGGUGAGAAUAGAGAAGAUUUGGGUGCAUAUGCUCAGGUUCAAACACAUAUUCUUGCUGGAAGGUCUGUAGAUAGUGCUCAAAUUCCUUCACAUAACUUCAGGUUAGAAUAUUCUGUGCUUACACAACGCGGUUUUUACCCUGAAUCCCCUGAGAAAGAAAAUCAGGAUAGUUAUUGUAUCAAAACACAAAUUCAGGGCAACCCAAAUGUUCAUUUCUUUGGUGUGUUUGAUGGGCAUGGACAGUUUGGUACUGAAUGUUCUGUGUUUGUUAGAGAUAGACUUGUUGAGAUUUUAUCGGAUGAUCCGACGUUGUUGGAUGACCCUGUUAAGGCUUAUAAUUCUGCAUUUACAAGAACAAAUGAAGAACUUCAUAAUAACAGUGAUAUUGAUGAUUCAAUGAGUGGGACAACUGCUAUAACUGCUCUUCUUGUUGGAGACAUGUUGUAUGUUGCAAAUGUAGGUGAUUCAAGAGCAGUAUUGGCUGUUAAAGAAGGUAAUAGAGUUGUUGCUAAAGAUUUGUCUUCUGAUCAGACGCCGUUUAGGAAAGACGAAUGCGAGAGAGUGAAAAGCUGUGGGGCAAGAGUUCUUAGUGUUGACCAAGUUGAAGGUCUAAAGGAUCCUGAUAUUCAGUCAUGGGGGGAUGAGGAAACGGAAGGAGGUGAUCCACCAAGGUUGUGGGUACAAAAUGGGAUGUAUCCAGGGACUGCUUUUACGCGGAGCGUUGGAGAUAGUACAGCUGAAAGCAUUGGUGUAGUUGCUGUCCCAGAGGUGUCAACAGUACGUCUUACAACUCAUCAUCCUUUCUUUGUAGUUGCAAGUGAUGGUGUCUUUGAGUUCCUUUCCAGCCAAACUGUGGUGGACAUGGUAAACAGAUGUGCAGAUCCUAGGGAUGCAAGUUCAGCCAUUGCUGGAGAAUCUUACAAACUGUGGCUAGAUCAUGAAAAUCGGACAGAUGAUAUAACAAUCAUCAUUGUACAUAUUAAAGGCUUAUCCAAUGUGGUGGUGCCACAGCCAAAAGCAAUGGAGGAAGAACAACCAACACACAGAAAGAAACAUCGGAGAUAUAUUUCACUCCGUGUGCUUCGGAAGGUUAUCGGUCAGUAAGGAGUGACUCGUCUGAAGUGAGCUGUUGUCAAACUGUUUCAUCACUAGACCAGAGCUCCAAAGUAGUAGUUUCAUCUAGCUUGGAUUGAACAGAGAUAAGACUUCCAAGGGUUUCCACGCAUUUCCCCAUAUUUUAGAUGUGCCUUAAAUGGUAACUUCCUUCAUUUCCAUAGUCAUCGACGAUUAUGCAGACACAUAACAAGCCAUGCAUAAGUAGAUCCUCAAACUGAUAGCGUAUAUUAUACCCUUCUAGUCUUCUACCACAUUUGACUGAAUAUGACAUAUAGCAGGACCUGAGCGGCAUUCAUAUAGCAGUUGAACCAAUGUCCUUUGGUUGUAAAAGAAUCCGGCAGUUUAUGGAUCUAUUGCCCUCUGAUUUCGAUUGGUCACUACUCACUUCAGUUACUUCUGACUUCGUAUUCUCGUGCAUGGCACAUCAAUAAAGUUUAGCUGGGUUGUUCUGGAGACUGCUUUGCUGGGGGGUUACUUCGUCAAAAGCUUAACACUGAUGCUCAUGUACUUUGUGUACUGUAUUCCAUUUAGACUUUGUCAGUUUUAGAAUGGCAAUAUUUCUAUUACGUCAUUUCAACUUAGCUAAGGAAGAACUUAUUGUUGUAUGAAGUGUCAAACUAGUAUAUCACAUGAAAAUUGGUAUUAAUUGGUUAAAUUUGUAUAGAGAGUGAUCUGUGUUUGAAUCUCUAAUUAACGUGUAAGCGGUUCGGCAGAGCACAUGUA
Molecule: RNA transcript, 2590 nt
Organism: Lycium ferocissimum
Lineage: Eukaryota; Viridiplantae; Streptophyta; Magnoliopsida; Solanales; Solanaceae
Gene name: probable protein phosphatase 2C 35
Exons: 4
Source: RefSeq, a predicted model, not a curated record